This 253-nucleotide ribosomal RNA is filed under the name uncultured bacterium. RNAcentral's name for it is "partial 16S ribosomal RNA". It matches the Rfam family "Bacterial small subunit ribosomal RNA", at positions 524 to 776 of the family's 1533-position model. The record is from RNAcentral.
UACAGAGGUCUCAAGCGUUGUUCGGAUUCAUUGGGCGUAAAGGGUGCGUAGGCGGCGCGGUAAGUCGGGUGUGAAAUCUCGGAGCUUAACUCCGAAACUGCAUUCGAUACUGCCGUGCUUGAGGACUGGAGAGGAGACUGGAAUUUACGGUGUAGCGGUGAAAUGCGUAGAUAUCGUAAGGAAGACCAGUGGCGAAGGCGAGUCUCUGGACAGCAACUGACGCUGAGGCACGAAGGCCAGGGGAGCAAACGGG